UUUUGAAUUGACCGAGAAAGAAAAAUCUAGGUUCACUUGGAGAAUACUAUUUUUGCAUUAGAUGAAGAAAUUAUUCCAGCACUGGCUAAAUAGCAUGAACGUGUUAUAGUAAAACAUAAAGAGAGUAGAGGAUGCGAUGCCUAUGAAACAAGUGUGCGUUUGGUGCUUGUGCUUGCUGUUGCUUGAGAAUGUGAGAUGCCUUGUGUCUUCUACUUUAUCACAACGAUGCCUGUUUCCAGAAAAGAAAUAAGAAUCAAAUAAAGGAAAACUCCACCAGCAGCUACCAGAAUCAAAUAAAGGAAAGGAAUACUCCACCCACAGCUAACGGCUGAUCCCUACCUCUCCUCCCACGCCUCCUCCCUAUCCGCGCCUACAUAUACCCUCUCCAUGCAACCAGCUCUGGCAAAACAAUAUACAGAAAAGGAACUCCCAUCGAAUUCCGUUGCAGCUCGAUCGUCAUCGUCUUCGCAGCUGGGAGCCGCGCCGGUUUCGCAUUCCUGGGGUUGCGAUGGACUUCGCCGUGGACGCUGCGCUGUGGGCGGUGGGCAAGGCGCUCGCCCCCGUCAAGGACGGCCUGUUGGAGUCAUGGGCAGCCAGCACUGAGCUUGGCCGCAACAUCGAUGCCCUCAAGAUGCAGCUGCUCUAUGCGCAAGGGAUGCUCGACAGUGCACAAGGCAAGGACAUCCGCAGCACCGCACUCAAGGAGCUUCUGCACAAGCUGCGGGAGCUGGCGUACAACACCGACGACGUGCUCGACGAGCUGGAGUACUUCCGCAUCCAGGACGCACUCGAUGACACAUACCAUGCCGCUGCUGACGUGAGUACGCAGGGCGGCUUCAUCGGCGGGCUCGUCCUCAAUGCUCGUCACACCGCCUACGCCGUUGGUAAACAUUUUUCAUGUCACUCUGCCCCGUCCGUCCAGGAUGACAACGCUCAUACCGUCAUGUUGGAAGAGGAAUCUCCCAAUACGGCAGGAAGUGGACGGCGAUUCUUCUGUGGUGCCUGGUCGUCCAAGGCACGGCAGAGAAACCAAGCCGUGCAAACACCAAAAUUAAAGUUUGAUAGGGUGGAAAUGUCCAGAAAGAUGGUGGAAAUAGUAGACCAGCUGAAACCUCUCUGUGCUAUGGUCUCCACCAUUCUAAAUCUAUUGGGCUCCAACCGCACCACUAGCAAAGACAUUACUAUGAACAGACCAAAAACCACCCAAGAAAUUGUGGAGCCUGAGUUCUAUGGGAGAGAUGACCAGAAAAAGGAAAUUGUAGAUUUUAUUACACAUGGGGAAUAUUGCAAAGAUGAAUUGACCGUAGUGCCACUUGUUGGUCCAGGUGGUAUUGGUAAGACAACUCUCACACAACACAUAUAUGGAGAACUAGAGGGCUCUUUCCAAGUCUCAGUUUGGGUAUGCGUUUCCCUGGAUUUUAAUGCAAAUAGGUUGGCACAAGAGAUUGCGAAAAAGAUCCCUAAGAUUAAUGAUGAAAAGCAAAAUGCUAGUGACAUGGAGCUAAUUCAACAAAGAUUAAAAUCUAAGAGGCUCUUACUGGUUUUAGACGAUAUGUGGACAUACAACGAGGAUGAGUGGAAAAAACUAUUAGCUCCACUAAAACAUAAAGGGGGAGAAAAAGGUAACGUGAUUAUAGUCACAACUCGAAUCCCAGAGGUAGCAAGCAUGGUCAGGACGACUAAUUCUUCAAUUAGAAAUGUGGAACAACUAGGUUAUAAAGAUAUUAUGUCUUUUUUUGAGGCAUGUGUAUUUGGUGACCAACAACCAUGGAAAGACCAUCCUGAAUUAUCCAAUAUUGCGAGCAAAAUAGUGACCAAUUUGAAGGGUUUCCCUCUUGCGGCAAAAACUGUAGGUAGAUUACUAAGAAAAAAAAUGACACUAGACCAUUGGAGAACAAUUGCCGGUAGUAGAGAAUGGGAAUUACAAACUGAGCCUAAUAAUAUCAUGCCAGCUCUAAAGCUUAGCUAUGACUAUCUCCCUUUUCAUCUACAACAAUGUUUUUCUUAUUGUGCAUUGUUUCCAGAAGAUUAUGAAUUUGGUCAGAAAGGGUUGGUUCACUUCUGGAUAGGACUAGGUCUUUUGCAUUCUUCUGAUUAGAAGAAAAGAAUCGAAGAUGUGGGACUGCACUAUUUAGACGACUUGGUUAAUUAUGGGUUUUUCAAAAAGAACGAGAAGGAAGAUGGUCAACAUUAUGUUAUUCAUGACCUAUUGCAUGAGUUAGCGGUGAAGGUUUCAUCAGAUGAAUGUCUUACCAUAUGUAGUUCUAACGUGAGGUCCAUACAAAUUCCUGCAUCCAUACGCCACUUGUCCAUCAUUGUAGAUAAUACUGAUGUUGGGGAUAUAUCGAAUUUUCAAGACUAUAAAAGUGACUUGAGUGCACUUGGUGAAAGAUUGAGAGUUCGAAACAUACGUACUUUGAUGUUAUUUGGAGAAUACCAUGGAAGCUUUGCCAAGAUGUUUAGGAAUCUGUUUAGGGAAGCUGGAGCCAUUCGCACUAUUUUUCUGUCUGGAGCAUCAUAUUCUCUGGAGGAUAUGUUGCCAAACUUUUCAAAACUUGUCCAUCUACGCUACGUAAGGAUCAAGUCAGGGCGUAAUCAAUACAUGUGCUUACCUAGUGCAUUGUUAAGAUCCUAUCAUCUAGAGGUAAUUGAUCUAGAAAAAUGGGGUGGCAGCUUUGGUUCAAUGAGGGAUGCGAGCAACCUUGUAAAACUGCAUCAUUUUCAUGUGCCAGGAGAUAGUCGUGAACUGUACUCUAGCAUAUACAGGGUGGGGAAACUUAAAUUCCUGGAGGAAUUAAGAUGCUUUGAAGUUGGAAAAGAGACCGAGGGUUUUGAGCUAAGUCAACUAGGCAAUUUGACAGAGCUGGGAGGAUCGCUUGGCAUUUAUAAUCUUGAAAAGGUGCACAGAAAAGAUGAGGGGAAAGAGCUAAAAUUGAUUCACAAAAAACACCUUCAUAAGCUAACAUUACAAUGGGAUAAUAACCAAUGUGACAAAAAUCUAGCACAAGAACAAAACGUCAUUGAAAGCCUUGUACCCCACAAUAAUCUUCAAGACCUAAGCAUUAGAGGGCAUGGAGGUGCUAAUUGCCCAUCAUGGCUGGGAGGGUCCCUCUCGGUUGAAAACUUAGGAUCUCUUUCUCUAUGUGAUGUAUCCUGGAACACACUUCCACCUCUAGGGAAGUUCAGGUUCGUUGAUGAUCCUAGUGAAGAGUGUCAGAGUCAUGCCUCAAUCCAAUGCUUCCAAACUUUGAAAAGGGUAGAAUGAAUUAAUAUACAAAAAAUGGCAAAAUGGGUCGGAAACGGCAAAUGUCAUUUGUUCUCUCUUCUAGAAGAGAUAACUAUUAUAGGUUGCCUCCAACUCACGGAGUUGCCAUUUUCACAUCCUGCUCAUGAUCAAGCCAAGCAAGAGGAGAACAUGACUUGGUUUCCGAAACUAAUGAAGCUCAAUAUUACGGGCUGCCCCAAAUUGGCGUCAUUGCCUCCAAUCCCUUGGACUCAAGCUCCGUGCUCUGCUGAGAUAAGACGAGCAGGAUCAGUAUUUGAGAAGCUUGUUUACUCGAAGAACUACAAAUCGGAAUUGAGUUUGGAAGUUGAGGGAAAAGAUGGUCAGCAUGGUCUGUGGAAUGGGUUGGCUUUCCAUAAUCUAGCUGGUCUGAAAGAGCUGGAGGUGAACAACUGCCCUCCCCUGCCACUGAUCCACCUCCAAAAGCUAAAAUCUCUCAAGUCCCUCACGGUAUUCGAUAUGAGCAACUUGUUGCUGCUGUUUGAAUGUGAAAGCUACAAUACUGAAUGCCCGCUUCCAGUUGAACAAAUAAAGAUCUGGGGCUGUGGUGCUGACGGGAAGGAAAUGACACAACUGUUAUCUCAUUUCCCGAAGCUCACUGAGUUGGUACUGACAUGUUGUGAGAAGAUAACAGAGCUUGGCGUGGUGGAGCUUCAGACGGAAAUGACGACACCGUCAUCUUCAGGUAAUGAAAUUGAAAUUGAGCAUGCACAAGCUGGACACCAUCAGACAAGAGCAGAGGAAGUAGAAGAAGCAGUGGCAGGAGGAGAAGGUCUCCUGCUCUUGCCUCGGCAACUACAGGAGUUGAGCAUCUAUCACUGCAGCGAGCUGCGGUUGCUCUCCGAUUCACUUGGCAAGGACAAUGGUAACCCACGAGGAGGAGGGCUCCAGAGUCUCUCCUCCCUCCAGUCGUUGUUCAUAUUUGAUUGCCCCAGGUUCCUCUCGUCCUAUCCGUCUUCCGCCUCAUCUUGUUUUCCCUUCCCGACCUCCCUGCGAUGGCUCAGUCUGUCUCGCGUGGAGAGCAUGGAGACGCUGACUCCCCUCUCAAAUCUCAGCUCUCUCACCAGUUUAACCGUGUAUAAUUGUGGGGAUCUAAGAGGCGAGGGUUUAUGGCCUCUCGUUGCCCGGGGCCGCCUCACAGAAUUAGGCAUCUUUGGAACCCGAAAAUUCUUCACUGGUUCUGAGCCCUCACGGCUGCAUGGCCAACAGAUUCCUUCCUCUUCAUCCAAAUUCGAACAUCUCACUACAGAUGACUUGACGGGAGUCCUUACCGCGCCCAUCUGCAAACUCCUCUCUUCCUCCCUUACCGAAUUAAGCUUUUGGGAGAAUAAAGAGGUGGAGCGCUUCACAGAGGAGCACGAGGAGGCCCUUCACCUCCUCAAUUCUCUCCAGGAACUCGUUUUUUGGGAAAGUGAGAAGCUGCAGCGCCUCCCUGCAGGGUUAACCCAGCUUGCCAGCCUCAAGAUAUUACGGAUUUCGGAGUGUCCAGCCAUCAGAUCGCUGCCCAAGGACGGACUGCCAAGUUCUUUGCAAGAACUAGAGAUCAAAGACUGUCCUGCCAUCAAAUCUCUGCCCAAGGACGGCCUGCCAAGUUCACUACGGAAAUUAGAAGUUUGUAAUGGCAUCAGCGAGGAGCUUAAAAGGCAGUGCCGCAAGUUAAAAGGAACCAUUCCAGUAAUCAAAGACUACCACGACUACGACUAA
RNA transcript from Hordeum vulgare subsp. vulgare (domesticated barley), 4987 nucleotides. It is a transcript of the gene named putative disease resistance protein RGA1, with no coding region annotated. The transcript has 2 exons. NCBI's taxonomy places the organism in Eukaryota, Viridiplantae, Streptophyta, Magnoliopsida, Poales, Poaceae. The record is from RefSeq and is a predicted model, not a curated record.